AAUCGAAUCACGGGCGAGCUCGACGGUCGGUGCAGGCAGCUGCACCCAGUCCGGCUCCGGCCCGUGCCCGUCACGACUCACGCGAGACAGCGAAACUUUUCCCAGCGGCGAAGCGGAGAUCGGAGAAGGAACCCCACCCUGCCCAGUGAGAUCUUCUCCUAGCAGCCGCAAUCUCUCCUCCCUCGGCGCGGAGGACGAGCAGCGCUGUAGAUUCGAUCGUGUGUGCUCCCGAGAUGGCGAUCGGGUCGGACUAAGCCGAAGCGAAAGCGAGAGCCGCUGCCCCCGUCGUCACUCGAUGACCAGGCGGACGGGUGGGUGCGCCGGCGGCUUCCUGCUGCCGUUGCUGCUCCUGGCAGUUGCUGCACGUUCAUGGUGCCAAUCCCUCUCUACACAUACACAAGGAAUGAAAGAAGGCUGUUGGGCCGCCGCCGCCGAGAGGUCAGAGAGCAGCCACCGGAAGCACCACCGGAAUCAAGGGAGAGAGAGGGCAACUGCCGGAAUCAAGCAGAGAGAGGGCACAGGGUAGCCGCUGGUAGAAUAGAAUAGGGAGAGGGCAGCAGCAGUAUUUAACUAAACCCCUAACAGUAAUGGCCAAAUGGGCCUUAUUACCGGUCAUCCAGCCCACAUCCAAAUCAAGCCUUAAAAAGAAACUAGUCGCCCCACCCUAAUUGGGUGACUAAUCACGCUUAGUCGACGACUAGUCGGACGACCAAAUGAUUAGUCGACCUGAUCGGGUCAGACUUCCUAAUCGCGCCAACAGAACCCACUUGACCGACUAAUCGUGAUUAGUCGGAUGACUUGAAAUCAUUGCUCUAAAUAAUAUAAGUUGCCUUAUGGAACAACCGAGGACAUAAGAGUAGACAAGAAAAAGAGGGGGUGUGGUGGGGUGUGUGGGGAGGACCCUGCUUUGCCUCCAGGAGGCUCUGCCAUUGCUUCUACUUGCAUUAGGAAAUCUAACAUUACUUUAUCAAACUACAAUCACAAUUUGAUGUGUCCUAGAUCACCAUUUGUGUAAACCCAUAAAAUUUAGUACAUGUUGAUACAUGACUCUACUAUCGAGAUUUGAUCAUGGUUGGUUAUGACAUGGAUGAUCUAAUUUACUUCAUUGACCUCUACGAAUUAGACCCUGUUUGAAACAACUCCAGCUCCAAGAAAUUUGGUGGAGUUGGUGGAGCAGGUCAUUAGGUGCUCUAGAAAAUCGUGGAGCUGGAGUUGUAAGUCUUUAGAAGACAUUUAGAUAAGUCAUUUUGUUUAUUAUUUUGAUUAAAAAUAUUUUUUAAAACUAUUUAAAUUGAUAUUAUAAACUACAGCUCCACACUGGAGCCGGAAUCUGAAGCCAUCCCAAACACCUCCUUAGUUUCUACCAUCCUUUACUUACUUGUGAUAUAGUUUGUCCGUUGCUCAAUUGAAUCUGCAUGCAUGAGUGUGCAAAUGGUUGAUCAAUCUGUCUGAAAGCUCCUAUAUGAGGACAUGUCUGCCUUUAACGAUAUAUAGAAGUAUAGAACACCUUGUACAGGGGCAGCUACCUUUUGUCCACUUCUUAUUGUGCCCAUAUGUGUUAUGCACUUAUGCUUAUGUCUGAAACAUGUUUCAGCAAAGAGAAUAUGGAGCUUUUUUUAGGUUACAGGCUCUGAAGAAUGUGAUGCCUGAUGGUAAGAAAAGGGAACAUGGUAGGAAGUGGUUAGUAUGUUUAAAGGUUACAGGCUCUGAGGCUCUGAAGAAUGUGAUGCCUGAUGCUUCUUUACUUGAUUGGAGCUUGGUUUCUCUUAUUAAUAUGGUCAUCUUCUUUGCUAUUCGAUUUGCUGUUCCAAGAAGAGGUCUUUACACCUGGAGGCUGCACAUUGUAUUGUGGUGUACAAUUAUUUACUCAGUCCUUGCUAUUUUAGCACAAGUUGCGUUUCAUAUAAUCUGGUACAUUGAGGGCAAGGGAUGGUCUGUGGCUCAUUCUUGGUGGGCGAAGCUGGUGGGUUUAGCAAGGGACCAGCCAUGGGAAUCACCAUCAGUUAUCUAUUUUCUUGCAUUACAGCUAUCUGCUGCAGGCCUUGCUUUGGUCGAAGUCCUUGGAGGAAGGCUUCAAGAUUCUUGCUGGUUGAACUUCUCUUUUGAGGUUGAGCAAAUAGGUUACCAUUUGCGGGUAGCAUGCUGCUUAUUACUGCCUGCUGCUCAGUUAGUUGUCGGUAUUAGCCAUCCUUCAUGGAUUUCAUUACCGUUCUUUGUAUUUAGCUGCAUUGGCCUUGUGGAUUGGUCCUUAACAAGUAACUUUCUUGGCCUUUUCCGAUGGUGGAGGUUACUUGAGAUAUACUCGGUGUUCAGUAUUCUUCUGCUUUAUCUCUACCAGUUACCUAUGAAAUUUCCCUAUAUUGCGUUAGCAUUUGCUGACUUCAUUGGUCUUUUCAAAAUUUCCUCGAAAUCAGAAUGGCCUGAGCUGUCUUCUGGAAUUUCUCUUCUGGUAUAUUAUUUCAUGUUGUCAUCAGCGAAACGAGACAUACAGGAAAUGGGUUCACUUAUAUCUCUAGAAAAUGAUAGCUUAACAGAGGACCUUCUGCCUUCUAGAAAUGCGUUUUUGGUCCGCCAAUCUCGAUCUGGCAGAAGGCAUGGAAACAUAUUACUGAGAGGAUCAGUUUUCCGAACUUUCAGCAUUAAUUUCUUCACUUAUGGAUUCCCGGUCUUGCUGCUUGCCCUUUCCUUCUGGAGUUUCAACUUCACUAGUAUUUGUGCUUUUGGUCUCCUAGCAUACGUUGGGUACAUUUUAUAUGCUUUUCCUUCUUUGUUCCAAAUGCAUCGGCUGAAUUGGUCACUUCUAGUGUUCAUUCUGCUUUGGGCAGCCAGCACAUAUGUCUUCAAUGUGGCAUUCACAUUCUUCAACAAAAGAUUUCAAAAGGAUAUGAUGAUUUGGGAGACUGUUGGGCUUUGGCACUAUUCUAUUCCUGGAUUAUUUUUACUUGCCCAAUUCUGCCUUGGAGUUUUUGUGGCACUGUGUAAUCUUGUUAACAAUUCUGUUUUUCUUUACUUGACUUCUGAAGGGGGUCCUUCAACAAGUGAUGAUCACCUCAUUGAUGAGAAGGAAGAUACAAUGGUUCUGAUUGUAGCAACAAUAGCAUGGGGUCUACGCAAACUUUCACGUGCAAUUACUUUAACAUUACUCUUUCUACUUGUGAUGAAACGAGGAUUUAUUCAUGCUGUUUACAUGUGCUUUUUCUUGGUGUUUCUGGUGAAUCAUUCAAUCGACAAGAGACUGCGCCAGAUCUUAGUAUUGUUUUGUGAGGUUCAUUUUUCGAUACUGUACAUUCUCCAGCUUGAUCUAGUGUCCAGUGCUCUGGAGCGCAGUGGUUCAUUAACAAUGGAGGUACUCUCACAGUUAGGUCUCUCAAAUAAUGCUACAGCAAAGGAUUUCAUGGAGAUAGGCUCAAUAGUUUGCUUCUGUGCUGUGCAUAGCCAUGGUUUUAAGAUGCUUUUUUCAUUAUCGGCGGUUCUUCGGCAUACACCUUGUCCACCUGUUGGAUUCACUAUUCUAAAGGCUGGUUUGAACAAGUCAGUUCUACUGUCAGUUUAUAGCUCGCAAAAUUCACGAGACGGUGAAGACCACCGUAAUUUACAUGAGAAAAAAAUCGCAUCAUAUCUGAGUAAAAUUGGUCAGAAAUUUCUCUUAGUGUACCGCUCAUAUGGAACUUAUGUGGCUUUUCUCACAAUACUUUUGACUCUAUACUUGGUGACCCCUAAUUAUAUAUCAUUUGGUUACCUAUUUUUCCUUCUAUUUUGGAUUAUUGGAAGGCAGCUUGUGGAGAAAACAAAAAGGCGACUGUGGUUUCCUCUAAAAGUAUAUGCUACGGUUGUUUUUAUUUUUACCUACAGCCUGAGUGUUUCACCGAUCUUUGCAGAAUCAGUCUCAAAGUUCCUUAAACUAUACCCUGAUCUGGGAUUUGACCCUGAAGCUUCUUUGCUGGAAAAUGUUUGGCAAUCAUUGGCCAUUCUAGUCGUAAUGCAACUUUACAGUUAUGAACGAAGACAAAACAGUGACAAGAACUUUGGUGUAUCUGAUGCUUCAGAAUCUGGACUUCUGGGGUUCCUAAGAAGGUUUCUAAUUUGGCACAGCGACAAGAUAUUAUCAGUUUGUGUGUUUUAUGCUUGCUUAUCAUCAAUCAGUUUAUCUGGCCUAAUUUACCUGUUAGGGCUUAUUGUGUUUUCUACGUUACCAAAAGUUUCUCGAAUUCCUUCCAAGGUUUACCUUGUCUACACUGGUUUGCUUGCUGCAUCUGAAUAUCUAUUUCAAAUGGUGUGCAAACCUGCACAGAUGUGUCCUCAUCAGCACUUCUAUGGUUUGUCUGUGUUUCUUGGUCUGAAAUACUAUGAUUCUGGGUUUUGGGGUAUCGAAUACAGGCUUAGGGGAAAAGUUUUAGUGAUUGUGGCCUGUACCAUUCAGUAUAAUGUUUUCCAUUGGCUAGAUUUGAUGCCAACAUCUCUAGUACAUAAGGGUAAAUGGGAAGAGCCCUGUCAACUUUUUAUCUCUUCCAACCCACCUUAUAGUCCUGUCAGAAGCAACGAAGAAAGUCAUUCAUCUAAUAGGUUUACUUCAUUGUUUUCUAAAGUUCAAGGUCUUAUAGGUAGUAGUUCAAGUUCAAGCUCAUCAGUGGGUCCAGGCAGCAUUCACCAGAAAUUAGAGUAUGUUGAUAAUGCCAUCGAAGGCUCAGAUGAGGACAAAAGACACUCAUUUGCAAAGAUUUGGGGAUUGUCAAAAGAAAGCCACAAGUGGGACAAGAAAAGGGUUAUUUUUCUGAGAAGAGAAAGAUUCGAAACCCAGAAGACAACAUUCAAAUGUUACAUGAAAUUCUGGAUAGAAAAUCUUUUCAAACUGCGAGGUCUGGAAAUUAACAUGAUUGUGUUACUAUUAGCAAGCUUUACACUGUUGAAUGUUGUAUCGAUCUUCUAUAUCAUGUGCCUUGUCCUUUGCAUUCUUAUGAACAGAGAUCUAAUCCAGAAAUUGUGGCCCCUUUUUGUGUUUCUGUUUGCUUCUGUCUUAAUACUUGAAUAUGUUGCUCUUUGGAAUGAUGAGAUAACCUGGUAUCAUGGUACCAAUGACAUUGAAGUCCAUUGCCGUGAGUGCUGGAAGAAUUCAAGGAUUUUUUUUGACUACUGCUCAAAAUGCUGGCUUGGGAUAAUUGCUGAUGAUCCUCGAAUGCUGAUUAGCUACUAUGUUGUGUUUAUAUUUUCCUCUUUUAAGCUUCGGUCUGAUCACUUUUCGAGCUUCUCAGACUCGGACACAUAUCGGCAGAUGAUGUCCCAAAGGAAAAAUGCAGUAGUAUGGAGGGACCUCUCACUGGAAACAAAAAGCUUUUGGACAUUCCUUGACUAUGUGCGGCUUUAUGCCUAUUGCCAUUUAUUGGACAUAGUUUUGGCACUAAUUGCAAUUACCGGUACUCUAGAGUAUGAUGUUCUGCACCUUGGUUAUCUCGGAUUUGCUCUGGUUUUCUUUAGAAUGAGACUUGAAAUCUUGAAGAAGAAGAAUAGGAUUUUCAAGUUUCUACGGAUGUAUAAUUUUGGUCUCAUUGUUUUGUCACUUGCUUAUCAAUCUCCUUAUGUUGGGCAAUUUAGCUCUGGCAAGUGCGAUCAAAUUGACUACCUAUAUGAGAUAAUUGGAUUAUACAAAUAUGACUAUGGGUUUAAGAUAACAUCACGGUCAGCUUUUGUUGAGAUAGUAAUCUUCCUAUUGGUAUCUGUUCAAUCAUACAUCUUUAGCUCUAGUGAGUUCGAUUAUGUGUCAAGAUAUCUUGAAGCAGAGCAAAUUGGUGCCAUGGUCCGUGAGCAGGAAAAAAAAGCUUUAAAGAAAACUGAGCAGCUGCAUCAUCUUCGCAGGUCUGAGGAGCAUAAACGUCAGCGGAAUAUGCAGGUGGAGAGGAUGAAGUCUGAGAUGUACAAUUUGCAAAGUCAACUUAACAGAAUGAACUCUUUCACACCAAUAAAUGAUACAUCUCACAAUGAAGGCUUGAGGCACAGGAGAAAUGUGAAACAUAAUAGUGAUGCUAAUACCUCGCAUGAAGAUAAUGAUAUUGUCGCACAAACAAAACAAGAUAAGAUUGGAAGCACAGAGUCACCACAGUCGUUUGAUUUUUCUGUAACAGAUACACAGCAUAACAUGGCAGAUUUGAUAUUCCAGGGUUCAUCUGAUACUAUGAGAUCACCGAUCAGGGGAAGAAGUGAAGAACAUGUGCUCACUGAUAACAUUAGAAAAUAUUCCCUUGGUUUGACACCUGAGAUCACUGAGGUUGAGAGUGAUGACAAAGUUAAUUGUAAUUUAUCGAGAGGGGAGAAGGCAAGGGGACAAUAUAAGGAAAACCCACUAAAAUCAGCUGUACAAUUGAUUGGCGAUGGUGUUUCUCAAGUUCAGUCAUUUGGGAACCAGGCAGUCACAAAUAUUGUUAGCUUCUUGAACAUUGAUCCAGAUGAGCCACACUCCAAUGAGCAUCAUGCAGAAAGUGACAUCUAUGAUGUUGUUGAAAGUCAGAGGGAAACACAAGAUGGGCAGCUUCCAAGAACACAUUCAGUUCCAGAUACCACAGGGACUAAAGCGAAAUCAAGCAUGCCAAUUGGUGUGAUUUUUCAGUAUAUAUGGUAUCAGAUGCGAAGUAAUUAUGAUUAUGUUUGCUAUUGCUGUUUUAUUCUGGUUUUCAUGUGGAAUUUUAGUUUGUUAUCCAUGGCCUACCUUGGGGCACUUUUCUUAUAUGCUCUUUGUGUGAACUAUGGCCCAAGUUACUUGUUUUGGGUCAUCAUUCUGAUCUACACCGAGGUCAACAUUCUGUCACAGUAUAUAUAUCAGAUUAUCAUUCAACACUGUGGUUUGAAUAUACAUUUACCUCUUCUUCAGAGAUUAGGUUUCCCUGACAAUAAAAUAAAAGCAUCAUUUGUCGUCAGCAUAUUGCCUCUCUUUUUAGUCUAUAUAUCCACUCUCUUGCAGAGCUCGAUCACUGCCAAAGAUGGUGAAUGGGUUCCGGUAACAGAAUUCAGCUUUCUUAGUGCAAGGAACAACAUUGAAGAGAAACACUGUGUAGCUUACAGUUGGAGAGAGAAGCUAAAAAGUUUGCCCUUGCCUGUUUUUGAUCUCAUAAGGAUGAUUGUUAGAGGCUUAUCUAGAUACUGGAUGUCAUUAACACAUGGAGCUGAAUCUCCUCCAUAUUUUGUGCAAGUUACAAUGGAGGUAAGCCAUUGGCCAGAAGAUGGAAUCCAGCCAGAGAGGAUAGAGUCUGCCAUAAAUAGGGUGCUUGCUAUUGCUCAUGAAGAAAGAUGUCAGGCAAACUUGCCUUCCUCUUGCCACUGUUGUAGUAAAGUCCGGAUUCAAAGUAUUGAAAAAAGCAAAGAAAAUUGUAAUAUGGCUCUUGCUGUACUAGAAGUUGUUUAUGCUGCUCCUGUAGAGUGCCAAUCUAAGGGAUGGCACAAAUCUCUCACUCCAGCAGCUGAUGUAGAAAGAGAGAUUCAUGAAUCACAGAAAGCAGGAUUUUUUGAAGAAAUAAAUUUUCCUUACCCGAUCGUCUCGGUGAUUGGUGGGGGUAAAAGAGAGAUCGAUCUUUAUGCAUAUUAUUUUGGCGCCGACUUGGCAGUUUUCUUCCUUGUUGCAAUGUUCUAUCAAUCUAUCCUAAAAAAUAAGAGUGAAUUCUUGGAAGUUUACCAGCUGGAGGAUCAGUUCCCAAAAGAAUUUGUUUUCAUCCUUAUGGUUCUCUUUUUCUUGAUAGUGGUUGACCGCAUUAUAUAUCUUUGGUCCUUUGCUACCGGCAAAGUUGUUUUCUAUCUUUUUAACCUUGUGCUUUUCACGUAUUCUGUCACUGAAUAUGCUUGGGGAACGGAGCUAGCUCACAGGGAUAUUGGAGGACUUGUACUACGUGCAAUCUACCUUACAAAAUCAAUUUCCCUAGCACUGCAAGCUUUACAGAUCAGAUAUGGUAUUCCUAACAAAAGCAACCUAUAUAGGCAGUUCUUGACUAGCAAAGUUACUCAAGUGAAUUACUUGGGCUUCCGUCUGUAUCGUGCUUUACCAUUCUUGUAUGAAUUGCGGUGUGUACUUGAUUGGUCUUGCACAACCACAUCUUUAACAAUGUAUGAUUGGCUGAAGGAUGUCAAUAGAGCAAAAGGGUGUUUCUUCUUUCAGGCUUUCUGGGUCAAGUUGGAAGGUUUUCAUGAUACUGUGGCUCAGGCUUGGAGUUUGGUGGCGCCAGGCCCCUGUCCUUUUGUCACUCUCUCCAGGAAGUUGCAAGUUGGAGGACAUAUAUGCAAGCUUGUUUCUUGUGAAAUGUGAUACACUUUUGAACAGAGCUAAUCAUCGUCAGGGAGAAAAACAAACAAAAACGACGAAAUUCUGCAGUGGGAUAUGCUUAUUCUUUGUACUUAUUUGUGUUAUUUGGGCUCCUAUGUUGAUUUAUAGUAGUGGUAACCCUACAAAUAUUGCCAAUCCCAUUGUUGAUGUAAGUGUUAAGAUUGAUAUAAAGGCACUUGGUGGGAGAUUAAACUUGUUUAAGACUACUGCUUGUGAAAAAAUACCUUGGAAGUACUUGAAGGCCUAUGAUGAUGUUGAUCCUCUAGAUUACCUUGGGGCAUACAAUGUGGAUGACAUUCAGCUGAUUUGCUGCCAGCCUGAUGCAUCAACAAUGUGGUUGAUACCUCCUCCAGUCCAAAACAGAUUCAUCCAGUCCCUUGAGGAGAGAGAGAUGCUUUUUGGAAAGAUGGAACUUAUUUUAAAUUGGGAUUUUCUCAGAGCUAGACCAAAAGGGAAGGAAUUAGUGCGAUAUGAAUCCCCUAUUGAACACUGCCCGAGUGUAGAUGAUGUUAAACGAGUGCUUAAUGGAACUGCAAACAGCUUCAGUAUAAUUGAUGCUUACCCAAGGUACUUUCGAGUUACUGGAUCAGGUGAAGUCCGGCGAUUAGAAGCAGCGAUAGAUUCAGUAAGUGGCGAAUUGCUAUUAAAUAAUGGCACUCCUUGGUGGUCAUUCUAUGAUACAAACCCAUCAGAUUUGGCAGGCUGUCAAGGGCUGAAUGGUCCCAUGGCUAUAGUUGUUUCUGAGGAGACACCUCAGGGCAUUAUUGGCGAAACACUCAGUAAAUUUAGCAUAUGGAGUUUAUAUAUUACUUUUGUUCUAGCUGUUGCGAGAUUUAUUAGGCUUCAGUGCUCAGACUUGAGAAUGAGAAUACCAUAUGAGAACCUUCCGUCAUGUGACAGGAAUGUUGGAGGAUUUCUGAUAUGAGGUCUAACCUCGUGGAUAAAGAUAUCAUUUGAUUCUCCGAAUUGGUCAUUUGGUUUCUCAAUCCUCCAUUUCCCACUUGCAUUCUGGCAAAAUCAUGAGUAAAACUUCUCGUUGUUGCCACUACUGUUGGGCACUACUCAUCAGUGUUCUAAUAAAGUGGUUGUGCUUGAGGCAAUCUUUUGGAGGGAUCAAUGGAGCAUGAUGGGAAAAAAUUCUAUGCAUCCCGGAUGCAAACGCACUCGUUUGUAGCCCCUCAUAUCCACCACCUGGAGGCCUACAAAAAUAGAUCGAAAUUUACAACUUAACCCCUUGGCUACUUGACAUCUGUGAAGGAAUAUAUGCAGCAAGAGCUGAAGGAGAGUUAGAAGUGGAAGAAGUUCUGUAUUGGACAUUGGUAAACAUCUAUAGAUCACCACAUAUGCUGCUUGAAUACACAAAGCCUGACUAGGGCACCCGUUCUGCUAAGGAAGCCAUUCUGCAAAAAAAUUCCAUGUAAUGUAGUAAUGUACAAGUAGAACACUUCUUUCCUUUGAGGUCACAACGAAGCUAACUUAAUCCUCUCCCCCCCUUGUGUCAGGACAAAAAACGUGCAAAUAGGCUUUGUAGUUGUAGUUCGUUUUUGCUAACAUGUAUACGGUUGACCAUUAUUUUUGGAGAAGUAUACAUCAAAGUUUCAUUGUGAAAGUUA
Zea mays is the source of this 9912-nucleotide RNA transcript. It is a transcript of the gene named piezo-type mechanosensitive ion channel homolog, with no coding region annotated. The record is from RefSeq and is a predicted model, not a curated record. Lineage: Eukaryota; Viridiplantae; Streptophyta; Magnoliopsida; Poales; Poaceae. The transcript is spliced from 25 exons.